This 383-nucleotide ribosomal RNA is filed under the name Drosophila polita. RNAcentral's name for it is "partial 16S ribosomal RNA". The stretch from base 259 to 383 matches the Rfam family "Bacterial large subunit ribosomal RNA", at positions 2473 to 2597 of the family's 2925-position model. Lineage: Eukaryota; Metazoa; Arthropoda; Insecta; Diptera; Drosophilidae. The record is from RNAcentral.
GAGAUAUUAACUGUUUCAUUUAAAUUUUUUAUAGAAUUUUAUUUUUUAGUCAAAAAGCUAAAAUAUAUUUAAAAGACGAGAAGACCCUAUAAAUCUUUAUAUUUUAUUUAUUUUAAUUAUAAAGAUUAUUUUUGUUAUAAUAAAUAAAAAUAUUUUAUUGGGGUGAUAUUAAAAUUUAAAAAACUUUUAAUUUUAAAAUCCAUUAAUUUAUGAAUAAUUGAUCCAUUAAUAAUGAUUAAAAAUUUAAGUUACUUUAGGGAUAACAGCGUAAUUUUUUUGGAGAGUUCAUAUCGAUAAAAAAGAUUGCGACCUCGAUGUUGGAUUAAGAUAUAAUUUUGGGUGUAGCCGUUCAAAUUUUAAGUCUGUUCGACUUUUAAAUUCUU